This 86-nucleotide transfer RNA is filed under the name Bacteroidia bacterium. RNAcentral's name for it is "tRNA-Leu". It matches the Rfam family "tRNA". Rfam says of the family: Transfer RNA (tRNA) molecules are approximately 80 nucleotides in length. Their secondary structure includes four short double-helical elements and three loops (D, anti-codon, and T loops). Further hydrogen bonds mediate the characteristic L-shaped molecular structure. tRNAs have two regions of fundamental functional importance: the anti-codon, which is responsible for specific mRNA codon recognition, and the 3' end, to which the tRNAs corresponding amino acid is attached (by aminoacyl-tRNA synthetases). tRNAs cope with the degeneracy of the genetic code in two manners: having more than one tRNA (with a specific anti-codon) for a particular amino acid; and 'wobble' base-pairing, i.e. permitting non-standard base-pairing at the 3rd anti-codon position. The record is from RNAcentral. Lineage: Bacteria; Pseudomonadati; Bacteroidota; Bacteroidia.
GUCCGGGUGGCGGAAUUGGUAGACGCCAGGGAUUUAAAAUCCCUUACCCUUCGGGUGUGCGGGUUCGAUUCCCGCUCUGGACACCA